Non-coding RNA from Taeniopygia guttata (zebra finch), 2904 nucleotides. The record is from RefSeq and is a predicted model, not a curated record. Lineage: Eukaryota; Metazoa; Chordata; Aves; Passeriformes; Estrildidae.
UCAGAGUAGAAAGGCACCAUUUUAUAUAGGUAGUAGGUAUUGGUCAAAUCCAAUGGGAAUAACUCAGGGGAGGGGUGAAUGCUCAGGGGAAUACAGAAAAGAAAACUUUCUAACUUCAGAUUCACAAAGCCUUUUGCGCAUCUGCACGUCACCACAGUACUUAACAAAAGGGAAUCCUUGCUAUAUGGUUUUUAUAUUUAAAGACUUUGCUUAGCUUAUACCUUCUGACUGCAGCUAUUUUGGGUGUCUUUGUUCCAGUUUUUGCCUCUGACACAUUUCUUUGUCAUAGUUAAGAGUCCCUGACUCAUCGGUAAGCAUGUGUGGGGUUUGGAGUUCUCUGUUUUUCUGUGAUUUAAAAUAGUCUGCCUCUGAGGAAUGACCUUUUUUGGUGGCAAUAUAUGAAGUGUUGGCCAUGAAUGCUUUCUCCUUUUCCCUGCAUCCUGAAGAGUACAUGGAGUGAAUUGCAUGGCAUCUUGAGAUGAAGAAGUUGCCUCUUUUUCUGCGACAUUAUUCUUGGCUGCACUUGUGCAAUGUUUGGCAGCCAUAGCUGCUUAUUUUAAGAUGUUCAUUAAAGAAAAAAAAUUACUAGGAUGAGAGACAGCUGCAGGUACUGGCAGUAUACAAAAUUCAUAAUUACUAAGAGUAACUGAAGCAUAUUACAGUAUAAUUCAACCAAAAAAACAGCUGGCACAUGCUAUAUUUGUCAUGAGAGCUUUGCAGAAAGUACUUGCUGCAGCUGGUGGAUUUAUCACCCGUCUGCUGAAAUGCUGGAAGCUCACCUUUUGUUUCCUACUCACUUAGCAAAGACAAUGUGCAGUGGGGGCUGAUGUAGUUAUCCAGCAGUUGCAGUUAUUGCUCAGUUCUAAUACUGAGAUCUCAUAAGUUGUAUUUGGGGGAGGGCUAACACUCAGAUUGAAUCAAUUGUCUAGCCCAAUUGCCAUCACAUUUCCUUAUGCUUACAAGGUUAAACUGUUUCCUUUUAAAUAUGUGUUCAGUGUGAUCUCAUUAUAAAAAUAAUUUCUUGAUCACAGCUGUGUAUGAGCCUGUAAACUCUGUUUAUGGUCUGUGCUGCUAAGCAUGCUAAUUCCAUACCUCAGCACAAGCACAGGAGACAGGCUCCUUUCAGUAACUGAGAAUUUUUAGGGCACCUAAAAAUUGGUCACCUGUAUUGAAAAUGCCUCAUUUGAUGCUUAGUACUAGAAUACAGAGGGCAAAUUACAAAAAUAGUAUUACAUACUAACAUACUGUCUAGAUCCUGCAAUCUUAAUUCUUACUUUAUAUACAGAGUGUUCACAUGUGAUAACAGGUAUAACCUAGAUGUGAUUUUAACUGUUUAACAACAUUGAAAUACCUGCCUGUGUACUUUCAUUUCUAUGAAAGUUCAAAGUUGUUGAACUAUUUUUGUGAUAUCUACCUGGGACUGGUGAAAGAAGUUAAGAGGGUGGGUUGAGAACAGGUGAGUGCAAACUCAUCACCAGAUGUAGUGGUGACCUGAUGUUACACAUGCAUUGCAACCUUGUAUUUCAAAUGACAUGUAUCAGUUUUCAAACUUUUAUGAAGUACUAAGUUUAAAAGUGUAUAAAAGCAAAUUAUUGUUGAGAACUAAGUGUCAUCAUUAAAAUAGCAGAAUUUCAGGUGAAGACCUGAAGUUAAAGUAUCUGCUACCCUACCUCCAUUCCUUCAAAAAUAAAGGCUUUAGCUUCCCUUGCAGUGCAUUAGUCUCAGCAACAGGUGAAGCAUUUAAGGUGAGGUGGUAGAGAUUGGUCAGAGGUUAGAGCAGCUCACUUAGGUUUGCAUCUUUCCCUGGCCAAAAUUACUGGAGUUGUGUCUUUAGUCAUCCUUCUUGUGCUGAUAGAAGGCAAUAACUGUUUCCUUUAGGCACUAGCUCAGAGAUUGUCUGUCAUAACCCAGAUGUUUUUUGUCUUCAAUACUGUGUAAACUGAAGAUCACUAAAACUCAUUCAGUAUAAAAGUGAAAAGACUGCUUUGAAGUAGGUGGUAUUUUCAUUUUCCUCACAAAGUGUCACAUUGUUGUCUGUCUCACAAGUAUAGAAUGAUUUAUUUUUAGGUACUUCAAAGCACCUUUAAAAACGCCUACACUGAGGUCUGGUUAUGGAACACUAAUUAGAAUGUUAAUCUCAAUAUUGAACUUACUGUGCAAAACACAGCUUAUAUUUAUUGCAUACUAGAUAGCAUGCCUCCAAAAUAAGAUUCAAUAAACAGGAAAAAAAACCCUGUAAAAUGUCAAGUGCCCUUGACAAAGUCUUGCUGAUUCCAACAAACACAUCUUGUUCCUCUGCCAUUACAGUUUUGAAUGCACAACAUGAAGAAGUGCUGUGUGGUGCUUUUGAAAUGGGUGUUUUAAGAGUAACCCUGUAAUUAAAACCCACCAUAAGCCUCCACAAUUCAUGGAACUAUCUAUGAAAUUACAUUCCAAUAACUAAAGUACUACUGUUUGCCAAUCAGCAUCUUUUCUUCUGAUUCCCAGAAGUGAGCUGCGUCAACAAAAACUCCGUAGCCAGGAGCUCAUUUCCCAGCUGGAAAUAGCAAAUGAGAAGGUAACUGAGGAUGAGACGCUGAUGAUGGAGUAUCGGGAAUACAUCGACAGGCUUCAGAGGCGGCUGAGCCAGGCGGAACAAAGAGCAGCCACAGCAUCCCAACAGCUCAGCCUGAUAACUACACAGAAUAAAAAAGCUACUUCCCUGAAGGAUCUGGAAAACAUUUAAACACCUGUUUUUAUCAUUCAUCAUGUUGGGAGUUAAGAGUAUUGCUGGAGAAACUUCAUAGUGGAGCACUACAGUCAAAAGCACAGCAAGGCUUGUAAAACUUCAAUUCUGGUGAGAAAGGGAGUGGAUGAAGAUCCUGUCUCUGUAUGCACAAUAAAGAUUGGAAGAAGACUGCAAAA